This 265-nucleotide ribosomal RNA is filed under the name uncultured bacterium. RNAcentral's name for it is "partial 16S ribosomal RNA". It matches the Rfam family "Bacterial small subunit ribosomal RNA", at positions 1236 to 1500 of the family's 1533-position model. The record is from RNAcentral.
UGAACAGAGGGAGGCGAGGGCGCGAGCCUGGGCAAAUCCCAAAAAUAACGUCCCAGUUCGGAUUGUAGUCUGCAACCCGACUACAUGAAGCUGGAAUCGCUAGUAAUCGCGGAUCAGAAUGCCGCGGUGAAUACGUUCCCGGGUCUUGUACACACCGCCCGUCACACCAUGGGAGUCGGAAAUGCCCGAAGUCGGUGACCCAACCUCAGGGAGGGAGCCGCCGAAGGCAGGUCUGGUGACUGGGGUGAAGUCGUAACAAGGUAUC